GCCCUUACAUGUGCACACCAGGAAGAAGGGUACAAGGAGUUUUGCACCGGCAUUUCGACCGGCGUGGAUCAAGAGAAAAGGGGGAGCGGGAGUUAACCCUUGGUGUGCUGCCUUACGGACUAAUGGAAAAGAAAAUUUCAAUGGUUUGUGAUGUUGCCCAUGGUCCCAGCCAUUUCAAAAUGUCAUCAUCUGGAAUAAAAUCAAAGUUCCUAGGAGAUACUGGUCCAUUUGAUUUCAUGCAAUGAAAUACCAACUGGAAAUAUCCACUAUGAAGGUUUAUCACCCAAUCUGUCUGUGCACCUACCUGUGAGAAUCGAUAGCCUCCUCAUGGCUGGGAAUGGAUGGUUUCCAGAUGUAUCUAGAAUGUCUAGCUGGUACAUGUCUCCUCUGAUGUUGUACAGCUUGCGAUGAAAAUCCUCAAUGGUCGGUGUGUAUUGGUCUUCAAAUCGUCCGUUCAAGAAGCGAGAAACGAUGGCACUCUUGCCAACUCUGGAUGCCCCAAGGACAACCAUCCGAUAAGAGUUUUUAGCUGGGACACUGAGUGUGCAGUUCCCACUGGAGAGAGUCUUCAUCAUGGCUUCAACCUAAGACAUAGAAUAUUUAUUAUAUCAUUUGACCUCAGUGACUAGAUUCCUUAGCUUGCUCAGCUUGCGCUUAAAAUACAGCCCACCCUUUCACAUUCAAAGUCUAAAAUCACCACUCUAGGGGGGCAUUUAUCAGCAUUUGGAUUUUUGUGGUUUUAAAGGUUUUUUUAAACUACAACUUAACUCAUUUCCACGAAUAUCAGUCAUUCUUAAAAAGAUCCGAACUGAAGAACCAUGAACAAAAAAAGAUGCAGAAAAAAAUGCAAAAACUUUUUUUUUUUUGUAUUGUGGCACAAAUGACAGCGUCAAAAAAAACAAAAACCUCUAAAACCACAAAGCAAAGAAAUAUCUUCCAUUUGUAAAAGGGACAUCUGCCAUUGACUUCUCAGCAGGUUUUAGAUGGCAUAUUGUUGCUUUCGGAUUUGUUGCAGCUUUGUCACAUAAUGAAUUGCAAAAAAAAAUGAAAAGCUUGUAUUUUGGUGCCAAGAAACCUGAAUGGCAAAAAAUUUGAGCAUUAGUAAAUGCCCCUUUGGUGUAAGAUGCACCACAUCCUAGAUGUAUCUAGUGCAAUAUUUCUGAUGUCUAUGCAUGAAUUUUAUCCUUAUCAAAGGCAACCUGUGGCACAACAUAACCUUCUGGCACAACAGGGGUCCAACAAAAGGGGACUCAGACCCUGAGACUGUUGGGUGGCCCUGAAAUGAUGUGCAGUUUCAAUAUACAAUUUCAAAACAGAACAUAUUGAAGCAAACCCAGGUAUUCCUGUCUGCAUGAGACCUACAUGUUCUAAUGUUGCAUUUCAGAGAGUUGCAUGUCACUUCAAAAUAUUUCCAGUUCCCAGACAUCAAAGCUAUAAUACAGCACAUUCAAUAAAAGGUUGCCGUAUUGACUACUAGAAUGGCUUCUCAGUUAUUUCAUGAACUUAAGGGCAUCAUAAAGCAGAUCUAUCCCCCAGUUACUGAGACAAUAUCUAUAAUGACAUGGCUUCUUUUGUGAGAAGUAUGAAAUCGCUUUUAUUCGGCUACAGUACAUUGAUUUGCAGCUUUCAUAGCAAAUCAAUGGCACAAAAGAAUUGCGUCAAACGGCAGAGAGUGCAGGGUUGCAUCUGCAAGUUCAUCUACAAUGAGGCAGAAUGAAACAGGGGAUGUAGGGAAGGUAAUAAUGUUUCAUUCUGGAUGUAAGAGAAGUGACCUGGGCCAAGGUAUCUGUAAGUCAUUCUGUAGAUGGCAAAAUUAGUGAUACAGGUAAUCAGCAAAGGUGGUAUAGAAUCAUGUAGUAAAGCAUUCAGUUAACAAAAUUCUGCCAGUCAGUCUGUAUUGCUGGAAAAUGCACAAUAUUACCAGCCUCCAAUAACAAAAAAUAAAUAAAGAAUUUGUUAAAGCAAACUGAAACUGGUGUUUCAGUUGUACACAUUUGCUCUUUCUAUAAAAUAUAUGGUUAUAUCUCUCUGAAUAGAUUGGUGCCCAUUUUGCUAAGCAAUAUUUUUACCAUAUGCCCCAGCCUAUCCUUAGCUUGUACUGUAGGGUUUUACAAAGUCUGCCUGUUUUAUUACUGUAAUGCCCCCUAUAUUACAUUGCUUGGGUUCACAUUGCUCUGCAUAUCUCACUAUAUUAAUGCUAUGCUCUGGAUGUCUAUGUAUUUACUUUGCCUGACAUUACAUUGCUCUGCAUGUGUUCCUAUAGCACUGAAAAUCCUCUUUAUGUUUCCGUAUUACUGCAAUGCUUUGCAUGGUGUCUGUAUUACACUCCCUAGAAUUACAUUAUUUUUGAUGUCUUACUGUAAAUUUGCAAUGUUCAGCUUGCCCCAGUUUUAUUUAGCCUGGUCCCACAUUGCUCUAUGCUUUUUACUAUAUUAUUGUAAUUCUUUGCCAUGUUCCUUUACGUGUUGUCACAUUGCUCUGCAUGUUUCACUAUAUAACUGCCUGGUGUCCCAUAAUAUUUUCUGCAUAUUUCUCUCAUGUUCCUGUACCUUUUUAUUACUCUGCGUGUAGUUACAGAGCUUUUUGCGUGCAUUACUUUAUGUACUAAUGCUCCACCUUUCGCUUGAUUACUUGCAUCUUAAUAUUCAGUACAUAUUUUGUCUGCCACCUGCCACUUUAUCAUUUAAAUGCUCUGCGUAUCAUUAUAUAAGCAUGUUAGUACAAUAUUCUGAAUGCACCUAUAUUUCUGUACAUUGUUACAGGGGCGUGUGUCACUAUAUUACAUUGCGUAUUACAUACCUGUGUAUGGUGCUACUCAGCUAUUUUUGUCACUAUAUAAUUCUGCAACAUGUUAAAAAGUUCUGCAUCUCUCUAUAUUAGCUUGCAUUCUGGUACAAUACUGGACUUGUCGCUAUAUUGCUCUGUAUGGUGUUAUAUUCGCUGUAUAACAACUAUAUUCCCUUUUACUGUGUUAAGUUCUCUGUAUGUAACUAUAAUGCUUUGUGUGCAUAUUGUUACCACUUGCCCACAGGUUGCUUUGCAGGUUAUUUUAUUAUUAAGCCUAUAAUAGUACUAUGUAUAAAUGGUUCUAUAUUACUACGCAUUUUCCCACUGUUGUGCUUGUAGCUACAUUGCUCUGCAUACUGUAUACUGCAUAUUACUCAGAAUGCUUUAAUGUUAAACUGCAUAUUAAUAUAUCAUAUUGCAUUUAGCUGUCCAUUCACUUCUGCAUAAAUACAUUUCUUCUCUUUGCUAAUCUAAUUCAACCUGUUACAAUAUUCUGUAUGUCUGCACAGUGUUGUACGUCACAAUAUAACUUAUAUAAUAGUUUUUGCAUAUCAUUAUAUUGAUAUGUAUUUUCUUAGAAUAUUCAGAGUAUCUCUCUUUUCUUGUGUGUGUAUAUUCCCAUAUAUAUUGUAUUUGAUCUGUGUUAAAUAGUUUUACCAGAUAAAUAUAAUGCAUAUUUGUAAAUGAUUUAAUAUUGUUAUAAUACUCUUCAUCUCCCUGCAUUAUUCUGUAUGUUAUAUAUUGCUGUGUAUGUCUUUUUAUUCAUCAGUAUGUUAUAAUACUCUGUAUAACAUUAUAUUACUCUCUAGUAUAAUACUCCGCAUUUCCCUAUAUUACUUUUUACUUUAUGUUGUAACAAAUGCUUUGCAUGUCCUUAUAUUACUUUAUAUGUUGUUAUAAUUCCUUGCAUAUCACUGUAUUGUACUUUAUAUUGCUAUACCACUCUGCAUAUCACUAUAUAGCUCUGUAAUUAUUCUCUGAAUAACCCUAUGUUACUGUGGGUUUAACACUUUAUAUGUCACUUUCUAACUCUCACAUGUGGUCAUAUUGUUCUUCAUAUCACUAUAUUACUCUGUCACUCUGUAUAUACAUUACUAUGUAUAGCAUUACAAUGCUCUGCGUAUUUUUCACUAUGCAAUCCAAUUGUGUAUGGCAGGGCAUUACCCUACAUAUUAACAGUGGGAAUACCUCUGCAUGUCAGAGUAGCAGUAUCUAUGUGUAACCCUUAUUACCAUUAUUUCCCUGUGUAUCCAGUUACAUGCAGUGUGACACACAGGUUGCCUUCUCUUACCUUUUGUAGUGGUGCGCUCUCAGACAAAGGCUAUUGCUGCUGAUUCCUCCUCUCUUCUCCCCAAAUCUGCUCUUUUCCACUCUUCUCCAAAUCCUGAUGUCUCAGUUUGGUCUCCAUAGGCAGAUCUAUUUAUACAGUUUGCUCUUAGAGAGCCAAUCCAACCCCCACCCCAAGGAGACAGACACCCGAGUAAGUGUUGGGCUUUUCCCUGGAAGUAUUCAGUGCUGAGUCCUUCAGAGUGGAUAAAGCAGGGUUAAAGCACAUUUAAAGCUCAGUCUCUGUUCCACGUGAAAUUCUGCCAUUAUGAUAUGUACUAAGGUUUCGAAACAGAAAUCACUGCAGCUUUGAUACUUUCAUCUGAUCAGAAAUCUGUUAUUACAGACUCACCCCAGACAUUCUAUGAUCUAGACAUCAGGCUGUGUUCUAUGAAGAGUUUAUUUACAGUGUAGAUACAGAAGUAUCUAUGUGGUUUCACAAUUCCUCUCUGUGCUGCUCAGUAACAGAACAGCGCCUAGUUUUUCUCUUUGUCUCCUUCUCUUGGCACCCAAUCCACAAAGUCCCAGGCACGAAACAGUGUGCAGCUUCCAGCAGGACCCUUGUGUCUCUUCUGUCUCCUGAACUGAAAGGACAGGCUUUUUCCCAAGGUCCAUGGCCCACCUCCCUACAAGGGCCCUAUCCAAUCAGAUGUCAGCAGGGCUUUCCUGAGAGCCGGAAUACACAGAUGGGCUGCUGUACAAAGUACUUGCUUCUUCUUUAGGCUAUUUUAUGUCAAACACCUAUCUGUCUCCCAAUACUUUCCCCGAAGAGCUUGCACUUUUUUUAUUGAUCCUCAUAUUGUUACAACUAGAAAGUGUUUGCUUUUUCUAUAAAACACUGAUUGCUGGGUAAAGAGAGAACUCUUUUUGUAACAUGUGCAUUAUUAUUAUUAAAUAGAAUUAAACCACGUUUAAUGUAAAGCUGAUCGCACAGAUCCCCACAGCCCCAUGGGCACAGCUCAUUAAGCCCUAAAAAAAAUGCCCACUGACCACCUCAUAGCAAAGGGCCCACUUGUUUGUUGCUGGGGGAAAAAAGGCUGUAAUGUCCCAAUCAAGCAGCCUUUAGAUUGCAAGCUCUUGCAAACAGGGGUCUUUCUUUCUACAGUUUAUUCUUCAUUUGUAUUUGUUAUAUUGUUUGUAUCUGGUCUGAUGCUUUAUAAUUGUGUUAUAAACUGAACUGCCCUG
This is a long non-coding RNA of Xenopus tropicalis (tropical clawed frog), 5298 nucleotides long. RefSeq lists it as uncharacterized. NCBI's taxonomy places the organism in Eukaryota, Metazoa, Chordata, Amphibia, Anura, Pipidae. The record is from RefSeq and is a predicted model, not a curated record. The transcript has 5 exons.